GCCGUGUUUCGAGUUACUCCGGAACACAGUGUUUAUUCUGUGUUUAGUCACGCCGCGUCAAAAAUGUUCCACAGGGUUACUUCCGGUUUAUCGUUGUUUACCAACAGUCGACACUUCGUGUAUUAGGCCUAGGCUUAAUUUUGUCGAUCAUCAUGAAAUUGAAAUACAAAUUUAAUAGUUUGGGGUGUAUGCGGUACAUAUUUGUUUAUGAGCGUUUGAUAAGCUACUAUUGAUCUACGAAAUACAACGAAAGACUUCGUCAAGAACAGAAGAAGACGAUGCAUGUCGUGUAACUCACACAAGGCCCAGCUGUCUAGUAACCGGAGGGGUAAAGGAAAAGAACGUAUUAGACUCACUGAAACCUGUCAAACAGGUAUAUGGGAACAGGAUCAUUUUCCAUGCCUUUCACUUGAGGUCUUCAGUUUCAUCAUUAAUCAUCUGAAUGUCGGUAUGCCAAACUCUCAUGAUGUCAUGCCAUUACUGGAUAUUCCUUAACACUGGUUUAUUUAAGCCACACUACCUAUAACAUUGCCAAAAUAUUAGACUGAAAAUUUUCAAAUACACAAGAUUUGAAGCAGCAAAAGAAAAGAAUUACAUAUGUAUAACACACAAAAAAGAAGAAAUUAAUUCUCACCUGGCUGAUAUGAACUUUUUACUCCUUUUUAGCUCCCUUUCACUGCAUACCAGCCAAUAACUAGCAGUCAUUAUAUGCAGAUCAGCCAUUGUUAUCAACCUGUGUAUAUAUAUGUUGAAUGAAAUAUGAAUGAAAA
Molecule: long non-coding RNA, 770 nt
Organism: Ostrea edulis (European flat oyster)
Lineage: Eukaryota; Metazoa; Mollusca; Bivalvia; Ostreida; Ostreidae
Exons: 2
Source: RefSeq, a predicted model, not a curated record